Lontra canadensis (Northern American river otter) is the source of this 685-nucleotide long non-coding RNA. RefSeq lists it as uncharacterized. The record is from RefSeq and is a predicted model, not a curated record. NCBI's taxonomy places the organism in Eukaryota, Metazoa, Chordata, Mammalia, Carnivora, Mustelidae. The transcript has 3 exons.
UCGCGCGGGAGCAACUGUCAACACCUUGUUCUGCCAGAGUCUUAUCGCCGCCGAAUUGCCUCCGCAUACCCGAAGGCGGCUUCGGAAUGCGAGACCACCGCCUUCCGCCCCACGCCUGUAACCUGCCGAGGCGAGGCCUUCUGGACCGGUCUUACAGGGCCCCGUCUAAUCUGAGGAGACUGCACAGUGCAGGUCCCUGGUGAGGGCUUAGGACCCCACGCCCACUCGGAGGCGUGAGGGUGACGCCCGCCUCCUCAGCCCUGGCUUGGCUAAAGUUUUAGCCAAACAAAGGAAAAAAGAAGGCAUCGUGGUGUCUGGGUGAAAAAGCAUGAUGAUAUUCACAUUUGAAACAAAUAGCCAUUGUAUACUCAGGACAGUGCAAAUUCUUAUCAGACUAGUUAAAACUCCUAUCAACCACACUAAAAAAAAAAAUCAGAAUGCAAAUUCAUGAAACUAAAGAUAUGGAACAACAAAUAACACUGGUGCCCAGAGGUGACAAGGUGAAGAAAGAAGACACCGUCCCUAUAUUCCAGUAAUGUCUGUCCAAAGCAUUCUUGUCCAGUUCAUCCCUUGGUUCUAGGCCCUGUUGAUAUUUUCCCAUAGUUGUUCUCAGUCAGUUCCUAUGGGAACAUAACUUACUGGUAUUAUACGCACAGACAGCUGAGACCAGAUUUCCAAUCCAUUC